Long non-coding RNA from Lolium rigidum, 3066 nucleotides. RefSeq lists it as uncharacterized. The record is from RefSeq and is a predicted model, not a curated record. Lineage: Eukaryota; Viridiplantae; Streptophyta; Magnoliopsida; Poales; Poaceae. The transcript has 3 exons.
UUUGCGAUAGGAACAAGUAGGUGCGAAAGAAAUUCUUCUCUCCUUUUCCUGCUUUGACCCUCUCUCCUCUCUUCAUCCUCAUCCUCAUCCUCCUGCUGCCGGCCCUGCUCAACGACGUCCUGCCCCGACGCCCUCCUCCUGCACAUCCUCUCCCACGUCCCCAAGGUGUCCUCUCCCGCGUCCCCAGAUCGCCGCCGCCGCCGUCGGUCGGCUCAGAUUGACGCAGCCGCCUCCAUCCACAUGUACCUGAACAGAUCAAGACGCCCGCCCCGAAUUGGUCGCUGUAAAGAAGCUCGCGGCCGCGUCGCGUUUGCGGCGGCGCUAGGGCACGGGAGCGGCAACCGGCGACGGGUGGGGCAAGCAGAGAUCACGACGAUGGUGCUGACGAGAGGAAGGGGGAGGACAUGGGCUAAAGGCCCGCCCAGGAUUUAACAUCUCAGCAUGCAGGCAAACCCCUUCUCCUCCGUCAACAAUGCAGCAUCGAUGGAGACACUGAUAUGCAUUGUGUGUGAGGGUGGUUAAAUAAGAUCGUUGUCAUUGCGCUUCUUUGAACUGAAUACACUGAUAUGAUUAUGAUCUUUUUGACUCACCGGAUAAAAGACCUGCCUUGUGUGAUUUUAUCAUUUUCAAUUUGUUCUUACCAAUAAAAACUCGAUUAAUUUUAGGCCUACUUGUGGAGAUUACGAUGUGGCAUCGGUCGGGAGUAAGUUCUUCCUCUUGGAUGCUGGGCGUCGUCGCAUCGUCCGCCAAGUUGGUCGCUCAAUUUGUCAGCCCAUGUAGAGAAGCGUCCUGCCUUCCACGGCUCCACCUGUUUGCUGAAAUACCAUAUGGUUCUGGCACCCUGAAAUUCACCGGUGUGUGCAGGGAUUCUCACAGUAGAUGGAGGCGACCGUGGGCGUUUGGUAUCUGGUCAUUGAUUCAGACAUGGGAGUCGACUACCACUGCUGGAGGAUGACGGCUAGCUGACCUCUUCAAGUGUCUGAAGCAGGAAGAGGGGACAAUAUGGUGCCACCAUCGCCCCUGCCCCUAGGGAGAAGACCCUUGAUCAUCUACCUGAUGAUCCUCACAGACCGGAUCUGGUCGAGAUGGCCAGUUUCGGAAUGACUGGCAGUUGCACAAAAUGUUCUUGCUCAUACCUCAUAUCAAAAUCCAUGUCCCCUGCAGCUGCCUCUUUCACUUUCAAGCCGUUGUCAACAAGGCCAUAUGGACUUCCGUCUUUCACCAGGUUAGCACAACCUAACUUACAUUCAGCUAGCUUUAUGAAAGUUCACAUCAUGAUCUGUUACCUCACUCCUAUGAAAUUAAACUUCCUUUCGGCGCAUGCAACUCAUGCCUAAUUGCUUAUGACAGCUAGCUUAGUUCUUAAUGACUUAGUGGUAACUAUUGUAGUUUGGGCGUCCAGGUACUAUGUUGAGUGAAAGCGGAGAUAUUAUGUCUCAAGUUUGCACAAACUUAUCUCUUAAUAUAAUUAUCCAUCUUAUGAAAUUUUUGGGAAAUAUGCAAAAUAUGGUUUGGUGAUGGAAAUUUUACAGUGCCUCUGCUUUUGGUGCAUCAUUUUCUUUCCCCUUAAUGUAUAUGCACUACGGAGUAUAUCCAACAUGACCCAGCGAAAAAAAUCAAUCUGACACAUGUAACUUCUUUUUCUCAGCUAAUUUCAUCGCUGGAUAUUUGAAGUUUCUGGCCCAUGUUAAAUAGUAGCAUGUAGCAUUUUUGUUGUGCUUCAACCUUUGCAUCCACUAGAGAUUCCAGACCAUCAAUUGAGUUAAUAAAACAAAUCUAAUUAUUGACACUUGCCGCGUCCCAUCUUCAUCUUAUCAAGAAAAGACAUAUUAUAAAAGGAGUAUAUAAAAUUGGCUUUUGUGUAAGCUACUUAGAUCGUCACUGUAUAGCUUUUGCCCCUGGUAUUUUAUAGAGCUAGCAAGGAAAUGAUCUGCUCAGAAUGCUCAUUUGUAAGAUAUGUAUGUUUUAAACAUGAAAUGCAUCAUUAGAUUAACAUUGAUCAAAGCUAUAAGUCUUUUGAAUUUUGAUAAUGUCAAGUUUGAGCUAAGAUUGCAGUGGGCUUCCACGAAAUCAAUGGAAGGUGAAUUUCCCUGCUUCUCAUGAUAAGAGAUAAUUGGAUAUUUUACUAAGAAUUUGUAUUCUCUUAUUGGAUAUUUGAUGUCACUCUUUCUGUCAUACUAAAAACUGGCUAUGAUUAUGUUGUUGUUUUUCUGGCUGUUCUCAAAUCUGAACUGUGGGUUUUGUUCAAAAAUGAAAUGUUCAUUAAACUCCGAUUCAACAAAUAAUAAUAAGAAGUAUACGCGCAAGAGCUCUGUUGAUCAUGUGUAUAUAGAUUUACUCCGGUUUAGGUCAUGUUUCACUGCUUAUAAUAGAUAAUCAUGUGAAUAUUAUUUUGUCAGAUCUCUGAUUAUUUCUCCUCUUCAAGAAGCAAACAUGUGUUAUUUUCUAGACAUCGUGUAAACUAUAAUGGACGCAGGCCACCUAUAAUCUGUAUGGAGAGGUUUGCAUGCCACCUACUAUCCCUAUGGAGAGGUGGAGAGGUUUGCAUGCCACCUACUAUCCCUAUGGAGAGGUUUACCAGCACUUUCAGUCGGUUGUUGUUCAACUAUGCAUCCAGUUUGGACAAACUGGAUUUAAUUAGCGUCAUUUCGUUUUCUUUGCCUUUCCAGUUUAUAAUACAGAGAAAAGCAUUAUGAUCUUUUGUCAAUGUCUUAUUCAAUAUUCCAGGGGCAGUUCAUGUUGUAGACGAGGUCAACAACCGUUUUUCAUUCCGGAGAGCGAUACCGGUGCUUAGUGGCCAGAGUUAUAAUGGUUGCACGCCCUGCCUCUUCAGUCUUUUGAACUUUGCUCCCUGUAUUAUGUAUGUGUCUUUGUGGGUCUUUAACAUGGACUACCGUUGUGUGCAUGCUGGUGCACCCUGGAGUGCUUCUGCGUGAUGGUGAUGACUGUCGUUGGUGUGUUCACCAUUGUGUAUCUAUGGUGUGAAAAUGGAUCUGUCUCGCAAAUGUUGCUGAAGAUUUACUGUCAAAAUUCAUGCCUUCAUUGCAUGUUAUCAUGCUUGAUGUA